GGGGCUAUAGCUCAGCUGGGAGAGCGCUUGAAUGGCAUUCAAGAGGUCAGGGGUUCGAGUCCCCUUAGCUCCACCA
RNAcentral lists this transfer RNA (76 nucleotides) under Synergistaceae bacterium. RNAcentral's name for it is "tRNA-Ala". It matches the Rfam family "tRNA". Rfam says of the family: Transfer RNA (tRNA) molecules are approximately 80 nucleotides in length. Their secondary structure includes four short double-helical elements and three loops (D, anti-codon, and T loops). Further hydrogen bonds mediate the characteristic L-shaped molecular structure. tRNAs have two regions of fundamental functional importance: the anti-codon, which is responsible for specific mRNA codon recognition, and the 3' end, to which the tRNAs corresponding amino acid is attached (by aminoacyl-tRNA synthetases). tRNAs cope with the degeneracy of the genetic code in two manners: having more than one tRNA (with a specific anti-codon) for a particular amino acid; and 'wobble' base-pairing, i.e. permitting non-standard base-pairing at the 3rd anti-codon position. The record is from RNAcentral. Lineage: Bacteria; Thermotogati; Synergistota; Synergistia; Synergistales; Synergistaceae.